Molecule: transfer RNA, 73 nt
Filed under: Omphalotus olearius VT 653.13
Lineage: Eukaryota; Fungi; Basidiomycota; Agaricomycetes; Agaricales; Omphalotaceae
Description: tRNA-Ala (TGC) (tRNA-Ala-TGC-3-1, tRNA-Ala-TGC-3-2)
Rfam family: tRNA
About the family: Transfer RNA (tRNA) molecules are approximately 80 nucleotides in length. Their secondary structure includes four short double-helical elements and three loops (D, anti-codon, and T loops).
Source: RNAcentral
GGGCACAUAGCGUAGGGGUUAUCGCGUUCGCUUUGCAUGCGAAAGGUCUCCGGUUCAAAUCCGGAUGUGUCCA